This 460-nucleotide ribosomal RNA is filed under the name uncultured bacterium. Its description in RNAcentral is "partial 16S ribosomal RNA". It matches the Rfam family "Bacterial small subunit ribosomal RNA", at positions 338 to 795 of the family's 1533-position model. The record is from RNAcentral.
CCUACGGGUGGCAGCAGUGAGGAAUAUUGGUCAAUGGACGAGAGCCUGAACCAGCCAAGUAGCGUGAAGGAUGACUGCCCUAUGGGUUGUAAACUUCUUUUAUAUGGGAAUAAAAUGUUCCACGUGUGGGAUUUUGUAUGUACCAUAUGAAUAAGGAUCGGCUAACUCCGUGCCAGCAGCCGCGGUAAUACGGAGGAUCCGAGCGUUAUCCGGAUUUAUUGGGUUUAAAGGGAGCGUAGGUGGAUUGUUAAGUCAGUUGUGAAAGUUUGCGGCUCAACCGUAAAAUUGCAGUUGAAACUGGCAGUCUUGAGUACAGUAGAGGUGGGCGGAAUUCGUGGUGUAGCGGUGAAAUGCUUAGAUAUGACGAAGAACUCCGAUUGCGAAGGCAGCUCACUGGACUGCAACUGACACUGAGGCGCGAAAGUGUGGGUAUCAAACAGGAUUAGAUACCCCUGUAGUC